UGGCCAUGUUGGUUAACAGAUCCUCAUUUGCUGGAUAAUUGGCGAUGAUCUUUAUCGGUUGUCGUCAGUUGCCAGAACGUUUACUUUGAGAAAAUUAGAGUGCUAAAAGCAGGCUCACGCCUAUAUAUAUUGCAUGGAAUAAUGAAAUAAGAUCUCGAUUUUAUUUCGUUGGUUUUAGAAAUUGAGAUAAUGAUUAAUAGGAUCAGAGGGGGGCGUACGUACUGUGGUGUGAGAGGUGAAAUUCUUGGAUCGCCACAGGACGAACAGCAGCGAAGGCGUUCGCCAAGAAUGUUUUCAUUAAUCAAGAACGAAAGUUUGAGGUUCGAAGACGAUUAGAUACCGUCCUAGUUCAAACCAUAAACGUUGCCAACUGUCUUUUAGAUGCGGUUAUUUAUAUGACUCAUCUGGCGGAUCUCGAGAAAUCUAAGUUUUUAGGUUCCGGGGGAAGUAUGGUUGCAAAGCUGAAACUUAAAAGAAUUGACGGAAGGACACACAAGAAGUGGAGCCUGUGGCCUAAUUUGACUCAACACGGGAAACCUUACUCGGCCAGGACACUUUUAGGAUUGACAGAUUGAGAGCUCUUUCUUGAUUAGGUGGGUGGUGGUGCAUGGUCGUUCGUAGUUCGUGGAGCGAUUUGUCUGAUUAAUUUCGAUAACGAACGAGACUCCGGCUUACUAAAUAGUCUAAAGUUCGAAGGGACUUUUCAAGACUUCUUAGCAGGAUAAAUGG
Molecule: ribosomal RNA, 729 nt
Filed under: uncultured eukaryote
Lineage: Eukaryota
Description: SSU rRNA
Rfam family: Eukaryotic small subunit ribosomal RNA
Source: RNAcentral